RNAcentral lists this ribosomal RNA (494 nucleotides) under uncultured bacterium. RNAcentral describes it as "partial 16S ribosomal RNA". It matches the Rfam family "Bacterial small subunit ribosomal RNA", at positions 28 to 507 of the family's 1533-position model. The record is from RNAcentral.
GACGAACGCUGGCGGCGUGCUUAACACAUGCAAGUCGAACGGUGAAGCGCCUUCCUUUUUGGUGGGUGUGGAUGAGUGGCGAACGGGUGAGUAACACGUGAGUAACCUGCUCCCUUCUUCUGGAUAACCGCAUGAAAGUGUGGCUAAUACGGGAUAUUCUGGGUCUGUCGCAUGAUGGGUCUGGGAAAGAUAUUGUUUCGGUGGGGGAUGGGCUCGCGGCCUAUCAGCUUGUUGGUGGGGUGAUGGCCUACUAAGGCGGUGACGGGUAGCCGGCCUGAGAGGGUGGACGGUCACACUGGGACUGAGACACGGCCCAGACUCCGACGGGAGGCAGCAGUGGGGAAUAUUGCACAAUGGGCGCAAGCCUGAUGCAGCGACGCCGCGUGAGGGAUGGAGGCCUUCGGGUUGUGAACCUCUUUCGCCAGUGAAGCAGGCCUGCCUCGUUUGUGGGUGGGUUGACGGUAGCUGGAUAAGAAGCGCCGGCUAACUACGUG